This is a non-coding RNA of Pteropus alecto (black flying fox), 119 nucleotides long. Lineage: Eukaryota; Metazoa; Chordata; Mammalia; Chiroptera; Pteropodidae. The record is from Rfam.
GUCUAUGGCCAUGCCACCCUGAUCAAGCCCGAUCUUAUCUGAUAUAGGAAGCUAAGCAGGGUUGAGCCUGGUUAGUACUUGGAUGGGAGACCACCUAGGAAGACCAGGUGCUAUGGGUG